RNAcentral lists this ribosomal RNA (253 nucleotides) under uncultured bacterium. RNAcentral describes it as "partial 16S ribosomal RNA". It matches the Rfam family "Bacterial small subunit ribosomal RNA", at positions 524 to 776 of the family's 1533-position model. The record is from RNAcentral.
UACGUAGGGUGCGAGCGUUAAUCGGAAUUACUGGGCGUAAAGCGUGCGCAGGCGGCUUUGUAAGCCAGAUGUGAAAUCCCCGGGCUCAACCUGGGAAUGGCAUUUGGGACUGCAAGGCUGGAGUACGGCAGAGGAGACUGGAAUUCCUGGUGUAGCAGUGAAAUGCGUAGAUAUCAGGAGGAAUACCGAUGGCGAAGGCAGGUCUCUGGGCUGAUACUGACGCUCAUGCACGAAAGCGUGGGGAGCAAACAGG